Molecule: long non-coding RNA, 701 nt
Filed under: Bos taurus (domestic cattle)
Lineage: Eukaryota; Metazoa; Chordata; Mammalia; Artiodactyla; Bovidae
Description: long non-coding RNA NONBTAT004726
Source: RNAcentral
GUAGUUAAGUGAAUAAGCUUUUGUUUAUUUGUGGAUGGGGUUAUUCUCCAUUUUCUUCUAUUACUUUUCGCUCUCUAGUUAGGAUUUAGCUUGAUUAGCAAAGGGUUUUUGGCAGAUAAUUUAUGAAAACUUAGAUACAUUGCAGCGGUUAUACAAAGGAUUUUAAAAUCUGAGCACUUAGGUGAAGGGACAAGCAGGUUAACAUGUUUAAAAAGAAAGAAGGAAAAAGUACUCUAUGAUAUGGUUACUAAAAUUUUAAUCCUGAUAUAAUUCAUUUCUCUUACAUUGAAUCCCCAAUCAUAAUUAAGCUGUAUACACAGAUUAAAUUAACAGAAGCAUUUCACAUAAAUGUUGGUUUCAGUCAUCAACUACCCAUGAAUUCCUGCCCAAGGAUACUUAAUCAGGAUUAAAUUUUCUAUGAAUAAUUGGAAAACAAAAUACUCACUGGAUUUGUUAUAAUCCGUGUUGGCACUGGAUUCUAAGUGGUUGCCAUCUUGAAUCCUUUGUAAUAAAGCCAUAUUUUUUGCGAAUGAUGCCCUGGUAUUGAGUAUUCAAAUACUCUAUCAAGUGCCUGUUAAAAAAAUUGCUACAUUGUUGUUGGUACUUGCAGUCUAAAAUGACUAUUCCCAUUAAGAGUCACUGAUCACAGAUUAUUCUGUCUUGCAAGUCCUUCAGGCCUUUUCAUUUUUACCUCUGGCUUA